RNAcentral lists this signal recognition particle RNA (72 nucleotides) under Verrucomicrobiota bacterium. RNAcentral's name for it is "Verrucomicrobia bacterium partial signal recognition particle sRNA small type". It matches the Rfam family "Bacterial small signal recognition particle RNA", at positions 1 to 73 of the family's 97-position model. Rfam says of the family: The signal recognition particle (SRP) is a universally conserved ribonucleoprotein involved in the co-translational targeting of proteins to membranes. Archaeal SRP consists of a 7S RNA and homologues of the eukaryotic SRP19 and SRP54 proteins. In most bacteria, the SRP consists of a 4.5S RNA and the Ffh protein (a homologue of the eukaryotic SRP54 protein). Lineage: Bacteria; Pseudomonadati; Verrucomicrobiota. The record is from RNAcentral.
UGCCAGGGCCCAUGGAAUGUGGACUUACGAACCCCGCCAGGGCCGGAAGGCAGCAACGGUAGUUUGCUCUGC